GACGAACGCUGGCGGCGUGCUUAACACAUGCAAGUCGAACGCUGAAGCUUGGUGCUUGCACUGGGUGGAUGAGUGGCGAACGGGUGAGCAAUACGUGAGUAACCUGCCCUUGACUCUGGGAUAAGCCUGGGAAACUGGGUCUAAUACUGGAUAUGACAUGCCACUGCAUGGUGGUGUGUGGAAAGGGUUUUACUGGUUUUGGAUGGGCUCACGGCCUAUCAGCUUGUUGGUGGGGUAAUGGCCUACCAAGGCGACGACGGGUAGCCGGCCUGAGAGGGUGACCGGCCACACUGGGACUGAGACACGGCCCAGACUCCUACGGGAGGCAGCAGUGGGGAAUAUUGCACAAUGGGCGGAAGCCUGAUGCAGCGACGCCGCGUGAGGGAUGACGGCCUUCGGGUUGUAAACCUCUUUCAGCACGGAAGAAGCGAGAGUGACGGUACGUGCAGAAGAAGCGCCGGCUAACUACGUG
Molecule: ribosomal RNA, 472 nt
Filed under: uncultured bacterium
Lineage: Bacteria
Description: partial 16S ribosomal RNA
Rfam family: Bacterial small subunit ribosomal RNA
Source: RNAcentral